Molecule: ribosomal RNA, 492 nt
Filed under: uncultured bacterium
Lineage: Bacteria
Description: partial 16S ribosomal RNA
Rfam family: Bacterial small subunit ribosomal RNA
Source: RNAcentral
GAUGAACGCUAGCUACAGGCUUAACACAUGCAAGUCGAGGGGAAGCGACAUCGAAAGCUUGCUUUUGAUGGGCGUCGACCGGCGCACGGGUGAGUAACGCGUAUCCAACCUGCCCACCACUUGGGGAUAACCUUGCGAAAGUAAGACUAAUACCCAAUGAUAUCCCACGAAGACAUCUGAAUGGGAUUAAAGAUUUAUCGGUGAUGGAUGGGGAUGCGUCUGAUUAGCUUGUUGGCGGGGUAACGGCCCACCAAGGCAACGAUCAGUAGGGGUUCUGAGAGGAAGGUCCCCCACAUUGGAACUGAGACACGGUCCAAACUCCUACGGGAGGCAGCAGUGAGGAAUAUUGGUCAAUGGGCGAGAGCCUGAACCAGCCAAGUAGCGUGCAGGAAGACGGCCCUAUGGGUUGUAAACUGCUUUUAUAAGGGAAUAAAGUGGGUCACGUGUGACUUUUUGCAUGUACCUUAUGAAUAAGGACCGGCUAAUUCCGUG